Molecule: ribosomal RNA, 497 nt
Filed under: uncultured bacterium
Lineage: Bacteria
Description: partial 16S ribosomal RNA
Rfam family: Bacterial small subunit ribosomal RNA
Source: RNAcentral
GAUGAACGCUGGCGGCGUGCCUAAUACAUGCAAGUCGAGCGAACAGACGAGGAGCUUGCUCCUUUGACGUUAGCGGCGGACGGGUGAGUAACACGUAGGUAACCUACCUAUAAGACUGGGAUAACUUCGGGAAACCGGAGCUAAUACCGGAUAAUAUUUCGAACCGCAUGGUUCGAUAGUGAAAGAUGGCUUUGCUAUCACUUAUAGAUGGACCUGCGCCGUAUUAGCUAGUUGGUAAGGUAACGGCUUACCAAGGCAACGAUACGUAGCCGACCUGAGAGGGUGAUCGGCCACACUGGAACUGAGACACGGUCCAGACUCCUACGGGAGGCAGAAGUAGGGAAUCUUCCGAAAUGGGCGAAAGCCUGACGGAGCAACGCAGCGUGAGUGAUGAAGGUCUUCGGAUCGUAAAACUCUGUUAUUAGGGAAGAACAAACGUGUAAGUAACUGUGCACGUCUUGACGGUACCUAAUCAGAAAGCCACGGCUAACUACGUG